UCUUACUUCAUCGUUGCUGGCUUUGUAUUUACAACUGUCUCUGUUCCGUAUCUUCGAUCUGAGUAUGGAAAAGAAUAUGAAUUCGACGCACCUGUCAAGCUAUUGGAGAAGCAUCUUCAUGCAAUGGCUCAAUCCGUGGACGAGCAGCUUGUUGUAGUAUCACAGGUUCUUGUAUCUGACAUUAACAUUGGUUACGAAGAGAUUGUCAACACCCAGGUUGUCGCCUUUAAUGGCAAACCUGUGAAAAACUUGAA
Non-coding RNA from Camelina sativa (false flax), 254 nucleotides. NCBI's taxonomy places the organism in Eukaryota, Viridiplantae, Streptophyta, Magnoliopsida, Brassicales, Brassicaceae. The record is from RefSeq and is a predicted model, not a curated record.